AGAGAAGUACCCAAGUGGCUCAAGGGGCGCCCCUGCUAAGGGUGUAGGUCGGGUAACCGGCGCGAGGGUUCGAAUCCCUUCUUCUCUGCCA
Molecule: transfer RNA, 91 nt
Filed under: Neobacillus niacini
Lineage: Bacteria; Bacillati; Bacillota; Bacilli; Caryophanales; Bacillaceae
Also listed under: 5 other names
Description: tRNA-Ser
Rfam family: tRNA
About the family: Transfer RNA (tRNA) molecules are approximately 80 nucleotides in length. Their secondary structure includes four short double-helical elements and three loops (D, anti-codon, and T loops).
Source: RNAcentral